Molecule: ribosomal RNA, 406 nt
Filed under: uncultured bacterium
Lineage: Bacteria
Description: partial 16S ribosomal RNA
Rfam family: Bacterial small subunit ribosomal RNA
Source: RNAcentral
AUUGAACGCUGGCGGCAGGCCUAACACAUGCAAGUCGAACGAGCGGCGGACGGGUGAGUAAUGUCUGGGAAACUGCCAGAUGGAGGGGGAUAACUACUGGAAACGGUAGCUACUACCGCAUACCAACGGAUGUGCCCAGAUGGGAUUAGCUAGUAGGGGGGGUAAUGGCUCACCUAGGCGACAAUCCCUAGCUGGUCUGAGAGGGUGAACAUCCACACUGGAACUGAGACACGGUCCAGACUCCUACGGGAGGCAGCAGUGGGGAAUAUUGCACAAUGGGCGCAAUCCUGAUGCAGCCAUGCCGCGUGUGUGAAGAAGGCCUUCGGGUUGUAAAGCACUUUCAGCGAGGAGGCGUUACUCGAAGAAGAAGCACCGGCUAACUCCGUGCCAGCAGCCGCGGUAAUAC